This 119-nucleotide ribosomal RNA is filed under the name Pteropus alecto (black flying fox). Lineage: Eukaryota; Metazoa; Chordata; Mammalia; Chiroptera; Pteropodidae. The record is from RNAcentral.
CUCUACGGCCAUACCAUCUGUAACGCGCCCGAUCUCCUCUGAUCUCGGAAGCUAAGCAGGGUCAGGCCUGGUUAGUACUUGGAUGGAAGACCGCCUGGGAAUACAGGGUGCUGUAGGCU